CGGGAGAAUUGCUAGCUUGCUAAUAAUUCUCUAGUGGCGCACGGGUGAGUAACACGUGAGUAACCUGCCCCCAAGAGUGGGAUAGCCCCGGGAAACUGGGAUUAAUACCGCAUAAAAUCGCAAGAUUAAAGCAGCAAUGCGCUUGGGGAUGGGCUCGCGUCCUAUUAGUUAGUUGGUGAGGUAACGGCUCACCAAGGCGAUGACGGGUAGCCGGUCUGAGAGGAUGUCCGGCCACACUGGAACUGAGACACGGUCCAGACACCUACGGGUGGCAGCAGUCGAGAAUCAUUCACAAUGGGGGAAACCCUGAUGGUGCGACGCCGCGUGGGGGAAUGAAGGUCUUCGGAUUGUAAACCCCUGUCAUGUGGGAGCAAAUUAAAAAGAUAGUACCACAAGAGGAAGAGACGGCUAACUCUGUGCCAGCAGCCGCGGUAAUACAGAGGUCUCAAGCGUUGUUCGGAAUCACUGGGCGUAAAGCGUGCGUAGGCGGUUUCGUAAGUCGUGUGUGAAAGGCGGGGGCUCAACCCCCGGACUGCACAUGAUACUGCGAGACUAGAGUAAUGGAGGGGGAACCGGAAUUCUCGGUGUAGCAGUGAAAUGCGUAGAUAUCGAGAGGAACACUCGUGGCGAAGGCGGGUUCCUGGACAUUAACUGACGCUGAGGCACGAAGGCCAGGGGAGCGAAAGGGAUUAGAUACCCCUGUAGUCCUGGCAGUAAACG
This 720-nucleotide ribosomal RNA is filed under the name uncultured bacterium. RNAcentral describes it as "bacterial SSU rRNA". It matches the Rfam family "Bacterial small subunit ribosomal RNA", at positions 67 to 808 of the family's 1533-position model. The record is from RNAcentral.